AUCAGGAUAGCCUAGAGGUUCAAGGCUCUGCGUUCAGGUCGCAGUCCACUCUGUGGGUGUGGGUUUGAAUCCCACUCCUGACA
Molecule: transfer RNA, 83 nt
Filed under: Schistosoma mansoni
Lineage: Eukaryota; Metazoa; Platyhelminthes; Trematoda; Strigeidida; Schistosomatidae
Rfam family: tRNA
About the family: Transfer RNA (tRNA) molecules are approximately 80 nucleotides in length. Their secondary structure includes four short double-helical elements and three loops (D, anti-codon, and T loops).
Source: Rfam by way of RNAcentral